Molecule: non-coding RNA, 201 nt
Organism: Cinara cedri
Lineage: Eukaryota; Metazoa; Arthropoda; Insecta; Hemiptera; Aphididae
Source: the annotation of a GenBank genome assembly
CGUAACACAUACAUCAUUAAUAUCAUAUGUAAUCUCUAGGCUGUGGCUCUAUACAUUGUGUACGAUCCAUUCCAGUACACCACGAUUUUAAAUAGUCUAUCUUAAAUCGUGAUAUGAUCCAAGGUUACCAGCAUGGUGGUUCCAUCCACCUUGGUUACCAUUUAGCGUUAUCGCUAUAAUUUUAUGGGAUCGCCGUCAUCG